GGUAAAGUAGCUCAGUGGUAGAGUGCUUGCCUUGCAUGCAUGAGGCCCUGGGUUCGAUUCCUUAGCACCA
Molecule: transfer RNA, 70 nt
Filed under: Dipodomys ordii (Ord's kangaroo rat)
Lineage: Eukaryota; Metazoa; Chordata; Mammalia; Rodentia; Heteromyidae
Rfam family: tRNA
About the family: Transfer RNA (tRNA) molecules are approximately 80 nucleotides in length. Their secondary structure includes four short double-helical elements and three loops (D, anti-codon, and T loops).
Source: Rfam by way of RNAcentral